Molecule: ribosomal RNA, 240 nt
Filed under: uncultured bacterium
Lineage: Bacteria
Description: partial 16S ribosomal RNA
Rfam family: Bacterial small subunit ribosomal RNA
Source: RNAcentral
CCGGCGCACGGGUGCGUAACGCGUAUACAAUCUACCUUUUACAGAGGGAUAGCCCAGAGAAAUUUGGAUUAAUACCUCAUAGUAUUAUAAAGUGGCAUCAUUUAAUAAUUAAAACUUCGGUGGUAAAAGAUGAGUAUGCGUUCUAUUAGCUAGAUGGUAAGGUAACGGCUUACCAUGGCAACGAUAGAUAGGGGUCCUGAGAGGGAGAUCCCCCCACACUGGUACUGAGACACGGACCAG